Molecule: ribosomal RNA, 403 nt
Filed under: uncultured bacterium
Lineage: Bacteria
Description: partial 16S ribosomal RNA
Rfam family: Bacterial small subunit ribosomal RNA
Source: RNAcentral
AUUGAACGCUGGCGGCAGGCCUAACACAUGCAAGUCGAGCGGGCGGCGGACGGGUGAGUAAUGUAUGGGGACUGCCCGAUAGAGGGGGAUACCUACUGGAAACGGUAGCUAAUACCGAAUACUAUCGGAUAACCCAUAGGGGAUUAGCUAGUAGGUGAGGUAAUGGCUCACAUAGGCGACGCUCCCUAGCUGGUCUGAGAGGAUGAUCAGCCACACUGGUACUGAGAAACGGCCCAGACUCCUACGGAGGCAGCAGUGGGGAAUAGUGGACAAUGGGCGCAAGCCUGAUGCAGCCAUGCAGCGUGUAUGAAGAAGGCCCUAGGGUUGUAAAGUACUUUCAGUCGGGAGGCGUUACCUACAGAAGAAGCACCGGCUAACUCCGUGCCAGCAGCCGCGGUAAUUC